This 253-nucleotide ribosomal RNA is filed under the name uncultured bacterium. RNAcentral describes it as "partial 16S ribosomal RNA". It matches the Rfam family "Bacterial small subunit ribosomal RNA", at positions 524 to 776 of the family's 1533-position model. The record is from RNAcentral.
UACGUAGGUGGCAAGCGUUGUCCGGAAUUAUUGGGCGUAAAGCGCGCGCAGGCGGUUCCUUAAGUCUGAUGUGAAAGCCCCCGGCUCAACCGGGGAGGGUCAUUGGAAACUGGGGAACUUGAGUACUGAAGAGGAAAGCGGAAUUCCACGUGCAGCGGUGAAAUGCGUAGAGAUGUGGAGGAACACCAGUGGCGAAGGCGGCUUUCUGGUCAGUAACUGACGCUGAGGCGCGAAAGCGUGGGGAGCAAACAGG